AUUUCUACUGAGUUACUCUGGUUUUUAGUCAAUCAGGUGCAAAUACUUUUCACCCAUUAACGUUAAAAACAGGGAAAGUAGACUAAUAUUUUCUCUAUAUUAGUGAAAAUAAAAGUUUUGCUCCCAUUUACAUUUUUUUAUUCUCUCCUCUUUCAACUAUUUUAUCCCUUUCAUUUACUUUAUUAUUUACUAAUCAAAACCUAUGACUCGGAUUGAAAAGCACAUCCAGCAAAAAAUAAUUUUGAGUAAAAUUGUAUUAAGUUGACUUUCUCUGAUUCUUGGCCAAUCAGAUAGAAAUACUUUUCAUCCGUUAAUGCUAAAUAGAGGGAAAGUAGACUAAUAGGUUAUUCUACAUAUUAGUGGAAAAAAAAGUUUUACUCCCAUUUACACUUAUUUUUUUCUUCUCUUUCGACUUUUUUUAAUCAUUCCACUUUACUCUAUUAUUUACCAAUCAAACCCUAUGGCUAUGAUUGAAAAGUGUAUCUAGUGAUAAUAAGUUGGAGUAAAAUUGUUUUCUGCUGUUUUAUUCUGAUUUUUAGGCAGUCAGGUGAAAAUACUUGUCGCUCAUUAACGCUAAAAAGAGGAAAAGUAAACUAAUAUAGUACUCUCUAUAUUAGUUGAAAUAAAAGUUAUACUCUCAUUUUCACUUUUUUAUUUUCUCCACUUUCAACUUUUUUAUCUUUCCCUCUUACACUAUUAUUUACCAAUCAAACCCAAUGACUCUGAUUGAAAAGCACAUCCAGCGAUUUGAAUUUUGAGUAAAAUUGUUUUUAUUGAGUUACUCUGAUUUUUAGCUAAUCAGGUGAAAAUACUUUUCACUCAUUAACGCUAUAAAAGAAGAAAAAUAGACUAAUAUAUUAUUCUCUAUAUUAGUGGAAAGAAAGUUUUACUCACAUUUUUACGUUUUUAUUUUUCCUUUUUUAUCUCUCUCUUUUACUCUAUUAUUUACUAAUCAAAUCCUAUGACUGCUUGAAAAACACAUCAAGUGAUAAUAAUUUGGAGUAAAAUUGUUUUCUGUGAGUUAUUUUGAUUUUUAGCCAAUUAGGUGGAAAUAUUUUUCAACCAUUAACGCUAAAAAAAAGGUAAAGUAGACUAAUAUGUUACUCUCUGUAUUAGUGGACGUAAAAGUUGUAUUCCCAUUUUCACUUUUUUAUUUUCUCAUCUUUUAACUUUUUUUA
This 1178-nucleotide long non-coding RNA is filed under the name Brassica napus (rape). RNAcentral describes it as "long non-coding RNA (BNAP_LNC011312)". Lineage: Eukaryota; Viridiplantae; Streptophyta; Magnoliopsida; Brassicales; Brassicaceae. The record is from RNAcentral.